This 817-nucleotide non-coding RNA is filed under the name Eucorydia linglong. RNAcentral's name for it is "12S ribosomal RNA". The stretch from base 405 to 807 matches the Rfam family "Microsporidia small subunit ribosomal RNA", at positions 752 to 1303 of the family's 1311-position model. Lineage: Eukaryota; Metazoa; Arthropoda; Insecta; Blattodea; Corydiidae. The record is from RNAcentral.
UUAUUAAUGAGAGAUAAAGUUUUAUUCUUGUUUGGGUUAUUUAUUUAUUCUUUAAUUUAUAUGCUAGUUUUUGCUAUAUUGAUAGUAAUUUUUCUUGAUGGUAUUUAGGGUGUAUUAUAAAAAGCAGUAUAUAGUUUUUUAUAAUUUGGUUAUUCAAGAUUUAGUGAUUGAUUAUGUAAUAGUCUUGGUUAAAUUUGUGCCAGCAACCGCGGUUAUACUUGGGAGGCAGUUAAAUAUUUUUAGUUGAGGUAGUUACUUGUAAAGUAAUUAAUUUGUUUUUUUUGUGUUUAGGUGAAAUUUUUAUUUUUUUAUAGUUGAUAAAAUAGUUUAGGAGGCUAUGAAAUUUAUAUUAUAAACUAGGAUUAGAUACCCUAUUAUUUGUAAAUUUAAAUAUUUAUUGGCUUGAGUAGUAGUAGUUAUGAUCUUGAAACUUAAAGAAUUUGGCGGUAUUAUAGUCUAAUUAGAGGAAUCUGUCCCGUAAUCGAUAUUCCGCGAUGAAUACUUACUUGGUUUAGUGUUUAUAUACCGCCGUUCUUUGGAAUAUAUUAUGAGAGUGUAAUUUUCUUAUUUUUUGAUUAUAUAGUAUUUCAGGUCAAGGUUUAAUUUAUGGUCAAGUGGAGAUGGAUUACAAUAAGUAUUGUUUAUAUGGAAAAUAAGGUGUAAUAUUGUUUUGAAGGUGGAUUUAAUAGUAAUUUGGUUUAGAAUAUUUAAAUGAUUUUAGCUCUAUAAUAUGUACACAUCGCCCGUCGCUCUCGCUAUAAGGUGAGAUAAGUCGUAACAUAGUAGUUGUACUGGAAAGUGUGGCUGGAAAUGUAAA